This 492-nucleotide ribosomal RNA is filed under the name uncultured bacterium. RNAcentral describes it as "partial 16S ribosomal RNA". It matches the Rfam family "Bacterial small subunit ribosomal RNA", at positions 29 to 507 of the family's 1533-position model. The record is from RNAcentral.
AGUGAACGCUGGCGGUAGGCCUAACACAUGCAAGUCGAACGGCAGCACAGUAAGAGCUUGCUCUUACGGGUGGCGAGUGGCGGACGGGUGAGGAAUACAUCGGAAUCUACUUUUUCGUGGGGGAUAACGUAGGGAAACUUACGCUAAUACCGCAUACGACCUACGGGUGAAAGCAGGGGAUCUUCGGACCUCGCGCGAUUGAAUGAGCCGAUGUCGGAUUAGCUAGUUGGCGGGGUAAAGGCCCACCAAGGCGACGAUCCGUAGCUGGUCUGAGAGGAUGAUCAGCCACACUGGAACUGAGACACGGUCCAGACUCCUACGGGAGGCAGCAGUGGGGAAUAUUGGACAAUGGGCGCAAGCCUGAUCCAGCCAUGCCGCGUGGGUGAAGAAGGCCUUCGGGUUGUAAAGCCCUUUUGUUGGGAAAGAAAAGCAGCAGGUUAAUACCCCGCUGUGCUGACGGUACCCAAAGAAUAAGCACCGGCUAACUUCGUG